This 38-nucleotide small RNA is filed under the name Arabidopsis thaliana (thale cress). Its description in RNAcentral is "ATSL189310". Lineage: Eukaryota; Viridiplantae; Streptophyta; Magnoliopsida; Brassicales; Brassicaceae. The record is from RNAcentral.
AUACUUUGGGGCAGUGAAUUUCUAAAACCAAAAAAAAA